ACCAGAGUGGUGGAAUGGCAGACACGUCGGCUUUAGGUGCCGAUGCCCUAUGGGCGUGAGGGUUCGACUCCCUCCUCUGGUA
This 82-nucleotide transfer RNA is filed under the name Actinomycetota bacterium. RNAcentral's name for it is "tRNA-Leu". It matches the Rfam family "tRNA". Rfam says of the family: Transfer RNA (tRNA) molecules are approximately 80 nucleotides in length. Their secondary structure includes four short double-helical elements and three loops (D, anti-codon, and T loops). Lineage: Bacteria; Bacillati; Actinomycetota. The record is from RNAcentral.